UACGUAGGUCGCAAGCGUUGUCCGGAUUUACUGGGCGUAAAGAGCGUGUAGGCGGCCACGCAGGUCCGUUGUGAAAACUGGAGGCUCAACCUCCAGACGUCGACGGAAACCGUAUGGCUAGAGUCCGGAAGAGGAUAGUGGAAUUCCCAGUGUAGCGGUGAAAUGCGUAGAUAUUGGGAGGAACACCGGUGGCGAAGGCGGCUAUCUGGACCGGUACUGACGCUGAGACGCGAAAGCCAGGGGAGCAAACGGG
Molecule: ribosomal RNA, 253 nt
Filed under: uncultured bacterium
Lineage: Bacteria
Description: partial 16S ribosomal RNA
Rfam family: Bacterial small subunit ribosomal RNA
Source: RNAcentral